This 548-nucleotide ribosomal RNA is filed under the name Chiromantis rufescens (African foam-nest treefrog). Its description in RNAcentral is "partial 16S ribosomal RNA". It matches the Rfam family "Bacterial large subunit ribosomal RNA", at positions 1817 to 2597 of the family's 2925-position model. Lineage: Eukaryota; Metazoa; Chordata; Amphibia; Anura; Rhacophoridae. The record is from RNAcentral.
CGCCUCUUGCUUCACAUAAGAGGUCCAGCCUGCCCAGUGAAAUUUUAACGGCCGCGGUACCCUGACCGUGCGAAGGUAGCAUAAUCACUCGUUCUCUAAAUAAGGACUUGUAUCAAUGGCAUCACGAGAGUCACACUGUCUCCUCUCUCCAAUCAGUGAACCUAAUCUCCCCGUGAAGAAGCGGGGUUACACCCAUAAGACGAGAAGACCCCAUGGAGCUUUAAACCUUAAAGCAAUUUAAAUAAAAUAUUUCCACAUAUACUUUAUUUAUGCAUGAAAGUUUUGGGUUGGGGUGACCGCGGAGCAAAAACUAACCUCCACAACGAAAAGAACUAAAUCUUUAUCUAAGAACUACUAUUCCAAGAAUCAACACACUGACGAAUACUGAUCCGAUAAUCGAUCAAUGAACCAAGUUACCCUGGGGAUAACAGCGCAAUCUACUUCGAGAGCUCAUAUCGACAAGUAGGCUUACGACCUCGAUGUUGGAUCAGGGUAUCCCAGUGGUGCAGCCGCUACUAAUGGUUCGUUUGUUCAACGAUUAAAACCCU